Molecule: ribosomal RNA, 496 nt
Filed under: uncultured bacterium
Lineage: Bacteria
Description: partial 16S ribosomal RNA
Rfam family: Bacterial small subunit ribosomal RNA
Source: RNAcentral
AUGAACGCUGGCGGCGUGCCUAAUACAUGCAAGUCGAGCGAACGGACGAGAAGCUUGCUUUUCUGAUGUUAGCGGCGGACGGGUGAGUAACACGUGGAUAACCUACCUAUAAGACUGGGAUAACUUCGGGAAGCCGGAGCUAAUACCGGAUAAUAUUUUGAACCGCAUGGUUCAAAAGUGAAAGACGGUCUUGCUGUCACUUAUAGAUGGAUCCGCGCUGCAUUAGCUAGUUGGUAAGGUAACGGCUUACCAAGGCAACGAUGCAUAGCCGACCUGAGAGGGUGAUCGGCCACACUGGAACUGAGACACGGUCCAGACUCCUACGGGAGGCAGCAGUAGGGAAUCUUCCGCAAUGGGCGAAAGCCUGACGGAGCAACGCCGCGUGAGUGAUGAAGGUCUUCGGAUCGUAAAACUCUGUUAUUAGGGAAGAACAUAUGUGUAAGUAACUGUGCACAUCUUGACGGCACCUAAUCAGAAAGCCACGGCUAACUACGUG